CAGUUGUUACAUUGGACACACUGUAAGCAAGACAAAGAGUCAUCUAAAGAAAUCACAACUCGGGGCAAUCAAGUCAGCAUAACUCUGCGUCCCAUAUCUGACUGCAUCUAAAUUUAGAAGUUUUCGUUUUGAAGACAGAAUUUUGUUUUUAGCUAUUUUCAUGUUCUUACCCAGGAAACAUCCAUGAAUCCUUUCGUUUGAAAGCUGUGACAAAGAACUCAUUUCAGUUCAGCUUGGGUUAUUCUUGGCAACUUUCAAAGAACAAGAUAGAUGUGUUCUAUGUGAAACAGAUGAGAGUUUUGGACAACCCAUUUGUGAGGCGGAUAGCUGAGAAACAGUUGAGUCUCAGCUGUCACCUCCUGAGCGCCCUGAAGCUCUGCCCCUGCAUGUCUACAGACCUGGAAUUAAGAGCGACUUAGCAUACCUGAGCCACCUGUGAAGCAAUGGGAAACUGAAUCCAAAGGAUUAUAAAUACUACAAAAUAGUUUUGCAAAGUGUAACAAUUAAGACUCUUACCAUCAGUGUCUGGAAAUUACCAUUUAAAUACAUUUUGGGCAAAAAAAGUAUCAUCUGUCUUUUUAAUUUUAACAUUUUUGGUGAGAAAGAGAGUGUGUGUCUGUGUUUGUGUGUGUGUCACAUUUUGUUUUAACUUACAUUUUCUUAAUCAUUUGUAAUGUUUAAAGUCUUAUAUAUUUAUUGGGCAUUUGGGUAUUCUCUUUUGUGAAGUACCUUUAAAAUCUUUUUUUC
RNAcentral lists this long non-coding RNA (747 nucleotides) under Homo sapiens (human). RNAcentral describes it as "HSALNT0066286". Lineage: Eukaryota; Metazoa; Chordata; Mammalia; Primates; Hominidae. The record is from RNAcentral.